RNAcentral lists this long non-coding RNA (550 nucleotides) under Bos taurus (domestic cattle). Its description in RNAcentral is "long non-coding RNA NONBTAT001093". Lineage: Eukaryota; Metazoa; Chordata; Mammalia; Artiodactyla; Bovidae. The record is from RNAcentral.
AAAAGGAAAAUGACACUAGGUUUACCCCUGAAAAAGGAGCCCCUUGCAUUCAGGAUCCCGAAUUUCAAAUCAGCCGUGGUAUUUUUGUUGUUGUUAACUUAAGCCAACCUCGACUCUUCUUUCUAUUGUUGUAAGCAGUGAGCCCUGUCUUACCUGAUUUCAUUUUUUAAAAUGUAUUUGCAAAAUAACGUGUGUAUUAGUAAGAUACCUGGCCGUUUUUAGAAGUCAAAGAGGUAUAGAUGGCAGAAGCAUUCUCUUUGAUGCUUUCAUAGGUCAGAGAAAGCUACAACAAAUGCAGUGGUCUCUGAAAGGAUGUUUUAUUGCAAAUAGAAAAUGAUCAUUAUUAACAACUCUGACAUUAUACUGCAUGAAACAUUUACAUGUUAAGUAUUCUUUCUGCUUCUGCUAGUCUGUGACCCUUGAAUUUUUCACACAUGAAGACAUGGAUGCAUAUCAAAUAAAAGAUUAAAGAUCAUGGAUAAUAGUAAUACAAUGGGGAACCAAAUGUUCAUGUUUCAUUAGGAAAAAUAAAAAGAAAGAGAGAAACUUA